CCUACGGGGGGCAGCAGUGGGGAAUAUUGGACAAUGGGGGGAACCCUGAUCCAGCCAUGCCGCGUGUGUGAAGAAGGCCCUCGGGUUGUAAAGCACUUUCAGUGAGGAAGAACGCCUGGUGGUUAAUACCCAUCAGGAAAGACAUCACUCACAGAAGAAGCACCGGCUAACUCCGUGGCCAGCAGCCGCGGUAAUACGGAGGGUGCGAGCGUUAAUCGGAAUUACUGGGCGUAAAGCGCGCGUAGGUGGCUUGAUAAGCCGGUUGUGAAAGCCCCGGGCUCAACCUGGGAACGGCAUCCGGAACUGUCAAGCUAGAGUGCAGGAGAGGAAGGUAGAAUUCCCGGUGUAGCGGUGAAAUGCGUAGAGAUCGGGAGGAAUACCAGUGGCGAAGGCGGCCUUCUGGACUGACACUGACACUGAGGUGCGAAAGCGUGGGUAGCAAACAGGAUUAGAUACCCCAGUAGUC
This 466-nucleotide ribosomal RNA is filed under the name Vreelandella stevensii. Its description in RNAcentral is "partial 16S ribosomal RNA". It matches the Rfam family "Bacterial small subunit ribosomal RNA", at positions 338 to 795 of the family's 1533-position model. Lineage: Bacteria; Pseudomonadati; Pseudomonadota; Gammaproteobacteria; Oceanospirillales; Halomonadaceae. The record is from RNAcentral.